UCGGCACUGCGGGGUUCGCCACCGAGUUACGAUGAUUGAGCCUACGCCGUAGAUAAAGGGAGACCGAUGCCGACGCCAGUGCAGCCCCUCAACGCAGGGAUUGCCGGAGGCGGCGGCUUCAACCGAAAGGUUAGGUCACCCACCUGUUACACGCAGGUUCAAUCUCGGCUUCGGAGCGGCCAACGCGGUUCUUCC
Molecule: non-coding RNA, 195 nt
Filed under: Pyrinomonadaceae bacterium
Lineage: Bacteria; Pseudomonadati; Acidobacteriota; Blastocatellia; Blastocatellales; Pyrinomonadaceae
Description: 6S RNA
Rfam family: 6S / SsrS RNA
About the family: E. coli 6S RNA was the first non coding RNA to be sequenced, but its function was unknown until recently. It consists of 184 nucleotides that fold into an extended hairpin structure with a large single-stranded internal bulge. The 6S RNA specifically associates with RNA polymerase holoenzyme containing the sigma70 specificity factor.
Source: RNAcentral